RNAcentral lists this ribosomal RNA (435 nucleotides) under uncultured SAR324 cluster bacterium. RNAcentral's name for it is "bacterial SSU rRNA". It matches the Rfam family "Bacterial small subunit ribosomal RNA", at positions 28 to 482 of the family's 1533-position model. The record is from RNAcentral. Lineage: Bacteria; Deltaproteobacteria.
GACGAACGCUGGCGGCAUGCUUAACACAUGCAAGUCGAACGAGAAAGCUUCUUCGGAGGUUAUUAAAGUGGCGCACGGGUGAGUAACGCGUAGACAAUCUGCCCUUCAGUCCGGGACAACUUUCCGAAAGGGGAGCUAAUACCGGAUAACAAUGUUUAACAUAAGUUGAAUAUUUGAAAGCUCCGGCGCUGAUGGAUGAGUCUGCGUCCCAUUAGCUUGUUGGUGCGGUAGAGGCGCACCAAGGCUACGAUGGGUAGCGGGUUUGAGAGGACGAUCCGCCACACUGGAACUGAGACACGGUCCAGACUCCUACGGGAGGCAGCAGUGGGGAAUAUUGCACAAUGGAGGCAACUCUGAUGCAGCAAUGCCGCGUGAGUGAAGAAGGCCCUUGGGUCGUAAAGCUCUUUUAUGGGGGAAGAUGAUGACGGUACCCCA